Molecule: ribosomal RNA, 460 nt
Filed under: uncultured bacterium
Lineage: Bacteria
Description: partial 16S ribosomal RNA
Rfam family: Bacterial small subunit ribosomal RNA
Source: RNAcentral
CCUACGGGAGGCAGCAGUGAGGAAUAUUGGUCAAUGGACGCGAGUCUGAACCAGCCAUGCCGCGUGCGGGAAGACGGCUCUGUGAGUUGUAAACUGCUUUUGUACGAGGGUAAAUCCCGAUACGAGUAUCGGGUUGAAAGUAUCGUACGAAUAAGCAUCGGCUAACUCCGUGCCAGCAGCCGCGGUAAUACGGAGGAUUCAAGCGUUAUCCGGAUUUAUUGGGUUUAAAGGGUGCGUAGGCGGUUCGAUAAGUUAGAGGUGAAAGCCCGGGGCUCAACUCCGGCAGUGCCUCUGAUACUGUCGGGCUAGAGUUUAGUUGCGGUAGGCGGAAUGUAUGGUGUAGCGGUGAAAUGCAUAGAGAUCAUACAGAACCCCGAUUGCGAAGGCAGCUUACCAACCCACGACUGACGUUGAGGCACGAAAGCGUGGGGAGCAAACAGGAUUAGAUACCCCUGUAGUC